AGGAUGAUCCUGUGCUGCCGAGAAAAGCAUCGACGCGAGGUCCGGGCCGCCCGUACCCGAAACCGACACAGGUAGUUGGGUAGAGCAUACUAAGGCUAGCGAGUGAAUCGUGGUUAAGGAACUCGGCAAAAUGCCCCCGUAACUUUGGGAGAAGGGGGGCCCUCGCUUUGAAGCCUUUUUCGGGCUAGGGGUUGGGGGUCGCAGAGUCUAGGGAGAAGCGACUGUUUAUCAAAAACACAGGUCUGUGCGAAGCUGUAAGGCGAUGUAUACGGACUGACGCCUGCCCGGUGCUGGAAGGUUAAUCGGACUGGUUAGCCCACGUUGUGGGUGAAGCUGGGAAGUUAAGCCCCAGUAAACGGCGGUGGUAACUAUAACCAUCCUAAGGUAGCGAAAUUCCUUGUCGGGUAAGUUCCGACCUGCACGAAUGGCGUAACGACUUCUCCGCUGUCUCGACCACGAGCUCGGUGAAAUUGCAGUACGAGUAAAGAUGCUCGUUUCGCGCAGCAGGACGGAAAGACCCCGGGACCUUUACUAUAGCUUGGUAUUGGUGUUUGGUUCGGCUUGUGUAGGAUAGGUGGGAGACUGUGAAGCAGUGACGCUAGUUGUUGUGGAGUCGUUGUUGAAAUACCACUCUGGUCGUGCUGGAUGUCUAACUGUGGCCCGUGAUCCGGGUCCGGGACAGUGCCUGGUGGGUAGUUUAACUGGGGCGGUUGCCUCCUAAAUGGUAACGGAGGCGCUCAAAGGUUCCCUCGGCCUGGUUGGUAAUCAGGUGGUGAGUGUAAGUGCACAAGGGGGCUUGACUGUGAGACAGACAUGUCGAGCAGGUACGAAAGUAGGAACUAGUGAUCCGGCGGUGGCUUGUGGAAGCGCCGUCGCUCAACGGAUAAAAGGUACCCCGGGGAUAACAGGCUGAUCCUGCCCAAGAGUUCAUAUCGACGGCAUGGUUUGGCACCUCGAUGUCGGCUCGUCGCAUCCUGGGGCUGGGGUAGGUCCCAAGGGUUGGGCUGUUCGCCCAUUAAAGCGGUACGCGAGCUGGGUUCAGAACGUCGUGAGACAGUUCGGUCCCUAUCCGCUGCGCGCGUAGGAGAAUUGAGAAGGGCUGUUCCUAGUACGAGAGGACCGGAACGGACGAACCUCUAGUGUGCCAGUUGUUCCGCCAGGGGCAUUGCUGGUUGGCCACGUUCGGGAGGGAUAACCGCUGAAAGCAUCUAAGCGGGAAGCCUGCUUCGAGAUGAGUUCUCCAGCCACAAUUUUUUGUGGGUGAGGCCCCCUAGAGAUGAUGGGGUUGAUAGGCCGGGGGUGGAAGCCUUGUGAGGGGUGGAGCUGACCGGUACUAAUGGCCGACCACCUAUGAUUA
RNAcentral lists this non-coding RNA (1357 nucleotides) under Actinobaculum massiliense ACS-171-V-Col2. Its description in RNAcentral is "Bacterial large subunit ribosomal RNA". It matches the Rfam family "Bacterial large subunit ribosomal RNA", at positions 1591 to 2925 of the family's 2925-position model. The record is from Rfam by way of RNAcentral. Lineage: Bacteria; Bacillati; Actinomycetota; Actinomycetes; Actinomycetales; Actinomycetaceae.